This 144-nucleotide ribosomal RNA is filed under the name uncultured bacterium. RNAcentral's name for it is "partial 16S ribosomal RNA". It matches the Rfam family "Bacterial small subunit ribosomal RNA", at positions 355 to 507 of the family's 1533-position model. The record is from RNAcentral.
UGGGGAAUAUUGCACAAUGGGCGCAAGCCUGAUGCAGCGACGCCGCGUGGGGGAUGAAGGCCUUCGGGUUGUAAACUCCUUUCGCUAUCGACGAAGCCACUUGUGGUGACGGUAGGUAGAUAAGAAGCACCGGCUAACUACGUG